GACGAACGCUGGCGGCGUGCCUAAUACAUGCAAGUUGAGCGCUGAAGGUUGGUACUUGUACCAACUGGAUGAGCAGCGAACGGGUGAGUAACGCGUGGGGAAUCUGCCUUUGAGCGGGGGACAACAUUUGGAAACGAAUGCUAAUACCGCAUAAAAACUUUAAACACAAGUUUUAAGUUUGAAAGAUGCAAUUGCAUCACUCAAAGAUGAUCCCGCGUUGUAUUAGCUAGUUGGUGAGGUAAAGGCUCACCAAGGCGAUGAUACAUAGCCGACCUGAGAGGGUGAUCGGCCACAUUGGGACUGAGACACGGCCCAAACACCUACGGGAGGCAGCAGUAGGGAAUCUUCGGCAAUGGACGAAAGUCUGACCGAGCAACGCCGCGUGAGUGAAGAAGGUUUUCGGAUCGUAAAACUCUGUUGGUAGAGAAGAACGUUGGUGAGAGUGGAAAGCUCAUCAAGUGACGGUAACUACCCAGAAAGGGACGGCUAACUACGU
This 496-nucleotide ribosomal RNA is filed under the name uncultured bacterium. Its description in RNAcentral is "partial 16S ribosomal RNA". It matches the Rfam family "Bacterial small subunit ribosomal RNA", at positions 28 to 506 of the family's 1533-position model. The record is from RNAcentral.